This 228-nucleotide ribosomal RNA is filed under the name uncultured bacterium. RNAcentral describes it as "partial 16S ribosomal RNA". It matches the Rfam family "Bacterial small subunit ribosomal RNA", at positions 28 to 253 of the family's 1533-position model. The record is from RNAcentral.
GACGAACGUUGGCGGCGUGCCUAAUACAUGCAAGUCAAUUGAAAUACCGGUAGCAAUACUGGUAUGGAGGUGGCGCACGGGUGAGUAACACGUAGGUAAUCUGCCUUCAGGUCUGACAUAACCCAUCGAAAGGUGAGCUAAUAUCAGAUGAUGCAGCGGCUUGACAUCAAGACAGUUGCUAAAGCUUCGGCGCCUGAAGAUGAGCCNGCGUCUGAUUAGCUAGUUGGC